Molecule: ribosomal RNA, 253 nt
Filed under: uncultured bacterium
Lineage: Bacteria
Description: partial 16S ribosomal RNA
Rfam family: Bacterial small subunit ribosomal RNA
Source: RNAcentral
UACGGGGGGUGCGAGCGUUGUCCGGAAUCACUGGGCGUAAAGGGCGCGUAGGUGGUUUGAUAAGGGUGUGGUGAAAGUCCGGGGCUCAACCCCGGGUCUGCCGUGCCGACUGUCAAACUCGAGGACUGUAGAGGCAGACGGAAUUCCGGGUGUAGCGGUGGAAUGCGUAGAGAUCCGGAGGAAGACCGGUGGCGAAGGCGGUCUGCUGGGCAGUUUCUGACACUGAGGCGCGACAGCGUGGGGAGCAAACAGG